GACAGAGGGGGCAAGCGUUGCUCGGAAUUACUGGGCUUAAAGGGCGCGUAGGCGGGUUCUCAAGUCCGGGGUGAAAUCCCACAGCUCAACUGUGGAACUGCCUCGGAUACUGGGGGUCUCGAGGGUGGUAGGGGUAUGCGGAACUAUCGGUGGAGCGGUGAAAUGCGUUGAUAUCGAUAGGAACUCCGGUGGCGAAGGCGGCAUACUGGACCACAUCUGACGCUGAGGCGCGAAAGCCAGGGGAGCAAACGGG
This 253-nucleotide ribosomal RNA is filed under the name uncultured bacterium. Its description in RNAcentral is "partial 16S ribosomal RNA". It matches the Rfam family "Bacterial small subunit ribosomal RNA", at positions 524 to 776 of the family's 1533-position model. The record is from RNAcentral.